RNAcentral lists this long non-coding RNA (502 nucleotides) under Medicago truncatula (barrel medic). RNAcentral describes it as "long non-coding RNA (MTRU_LNC005248)". The record is from RNAcentral. Lineage: Eukaryota; Viridiplantae; Streptophyta; Magnoliopsida; Fabales; Fabaceae.
AUGUGAUUAUUUUCUCUUCUUCUCAAGGCCGCUUCACUUUCAAAAACUGCAUCUUUCCAUCUCCCAUAUGGUAAUGUAAUUACAAAUCUAGGGGUAAAAACCUCAUCAACAUCAAUUUCAUUGCUCCUUUCUUCCUUUGCUGUCGCACACACACCUUUCUCUCUAUUCCAUUAUGCCUUUGUCCUUCAAUGGAAAGAAACAUCAAAUGAUUAUAUAUAUAUAUAUAUAUAUAUAUAUAUAUAUAUAUAUGAGUAAUGCUAAUACACAUCCACCUUAAUUUUAGAAGGUGUGCAUUAGCAUCAUGCACCUAUUUGUAUUGGACAAAAUUUACCCCUUUCUCUUUCUUCAAUUAUCGUUAAAUGCAUGUCCCUUAAAGUAAUUUUUUAACCCACACCAAUCAAUUUCUUUCUCUUUCUCUCAAAACAAUCCUUCCCGCUCUUGCUUUGUCCAUCUUCUUCUCCAACUUGCCUCUUAAUUCUGUACAUGAAUAGAUAUAAUAAAA